This 321-nucleotide long non-coding RNA is filed under the name Lathyrus oleraceus (garden pea). RNAcentral describes it as "Pisum sativum (pea) long non-coding RNA (PSAT_LNC017527)". Lineage: Eukaryota; Viridiplantae; Streptophyta; Magnoliopsida; Fabales; Fabaceae. The record is from RNAcentral.
AGUUGGUGAUGAUGAUGAGUAGAAAAUGGUGAUGAUGAGCUUUUCCUUUUCUCCUCCAAGCCUUUCUUCCUUCUUUCUCUCUUCUUCUUUCUUCUCUUUUCCUCUUAUCUACUUUCCCCUUUCUUCUUUUCUUUCUUUCUGAUAACUCUUUCUUACUUACUACCUACUCUUCUUAUCCUUUUCUUUCUCUUUCUCUUACAACCACACAAAUAUAUAACAUAUACUUUAUAUAUAUUAUAAUAUUAGGUAGUAACAUAAAAUAUCUCAAUUGAUAUUUCAUCUUCCAGUACCAAUUGACCAAUUAUUAAUGUUACCAAAAAU